GACGAACGCUGGCGGCGUGCUUAACACAUGCAAGUCGAACGGAAAGGCCCUGCUUUUGUGGGGUGCUCGAGUGGCGAACGGGUGAGUAACACGUGAGUAACCUGCCCUUGGCUUUGGGAUAACUUCAGGAAACUGGGGCUAAUACCGGAUAGGAGCUCCUGCUGCAUGGUGGGGGUUGGAAAGUUUCGGCGGUUGGGGAUGGACUCGCGGCUUAUCAGCUUGUUGGUGGGGUAGUGGCUUACCAAGGCUUUGACGGGUAGCCGGCCUGAGAGGGUGACCGGCCACAUUGGGACUGAGAUACGGCCCAGACUCCUACGGGAGGCAGCAGUGGGGAAUAUUGCACAAUGGGCGGAAGCCUGAUGCAACAACGCCGCGUGCGGGAUGACGGCCUUCGGGUUGUAAACCGCUUUCGCCUGUGACGAAGCGUGAGUGACGGUAAUGGGUAAAGAAGCACCGGCUAACUACGUG
This 468-nucleotide ribosomal RNA is filed under the name uncultured bacterium. RNAcentral's name for it is "partial 16S ribosomal RNA". It matches the Rfam family "Bacterial small subunit ribosomal RNA", at positions 28 to 507 of the family's 1533-position model. The record is from RNAcentral.